AUAACAGCAAAAUCUGUUAUCCGGGUUAGCGUCCGGCAAAUACUCAACGAGCCCUCAGAAGACGCGCUCAGCGUCUUUUUU
This 81-nucleotide small RNA is filed under the name Photobacterium halotolerans. RNAcentral's name for it is "isrK". It matches the Rfam family "isrK Hfq binding RNA". The record is from RNAcentral. Lineage: Bacteria; Pseudomonadati; Pseudomonadota; Gammaproteobacteria; Vibrionales; Vibrionaceae.